Molecule: ribosomal RNA, 497 nt
Filed under: uncultured bacterium
Lineage: Bacteria
Description: partial 16S ribosomal RNA
Rfam family: Bacterial small subunit ribosomal RNA
Source: RNAcentral
GAUGAACGCUGGCGGCGUGCCUAAUACAUGCAAGUCGAGCGAACAGAUGAGGAGCUUGCUCCUCUGACGUUAGCGGCGGACGGGUGAGUAACACGUGGAUAACCUACCUAUAAGACUGGGAUAACUUCGGGAAACCGGAGCUAAUACCGGAUAAUAUAUCGAACCGCAUGGUUCAAUAGUGAAAGACGGUUUUGCUGUCACUUAUAGAUGGAUCCGCGCCGCAUUAGCUAGUUGGUAAGGUAACGGCUUACCAAGGCAACGAUGCGUAGCCGACCUGAGAGGGUGAUCGGCCACACUGGAACUGAGACACGGUCCAGACUCCUACGGGAGGCAGCAGUAGGGAAUCUUCCGCAACGGGCGAAAGCCUGACGGAGCAACGCCGCGUGAGUGAUGAAGGUCCUCGGAUCGUAAAACUCUGUUAUUAGGGAAGAACAAAUGUGUAAGUAACUAUGCACGUCUUGACGGUACCUAAUCAGAAAGCCACGGCUAACUACGUG